GUGCCAGCCGCCGCGGUGAUACCGGCAGCCCGAGUGAUGGUCGAUCUUAUUGGGCCUAAAGCGUCCGUAGCUGGCUGCGCAAGUCCGUCGGGAAAUCCACUCGCCCAACGAGUGGGCGUCCGACGGAAACUGCACAGCUUGGGACCGGAAGGCUCGAGGGGUACGUCCGGGGUAGGAGUGAAAUCCCGUAAUCCUGGACGGACCACCGGUGGCGAAAGCGCCUCGAGAGGACGGACCCGACAGUGAGGGACGAAAGCCAGGGUCUCGAACCGGAUUAGAAACCCUUGUAGUCC
Molecule: ribosomal RNA, 293 nt
Filed under: uncultured bacterium
Lineage: Bacteria
Description: partial 16S ribosomal RNA
Rfam family: Archaeal small subunit ribosomal RNA
Source: RNAcentral